CUUCCAUUAAUCUUGCUUGCUUUUGUAUUUCUGGAUUAUUUCUUCAAUGGAUCUUGAUGAUAUGCCCGGUUGGGUUUUCGGUUAAGUUUUAAUUUGAAAGGAUUUGACCUUGUCUCUAUGCAUGCCAUUCUUGUGCUCUAGCUUGCUUCUAAUUUUUAUUGUGUGCUGGUGUGCUUCGUGUAUUUUGGCUUACAAUCUGCUUAUUGAUAAACUAUUGAAUUGGAAAUUUGGCUUCCCCGGAUUUUUUUGGGGUGGUUAACGAAACUCUUAGGUUUCCAGAAAGCGUCCCCCCAAGCCUCCAUUUGGAUCAUUUACCUUGAUUAGAUGUUCUUGUAUCUGAUGUAUGAACUCAUCUGAACUGUGCUUUAUCUCGAGUAAAUGAGGUCUACUACUGUAAUCUCCUUGUGUGUAAUGAACUGUAGUCAAAUAAAAUAUUUUGAUGACGAACGAUUAUCCUGUCAAGGGUAUUAAAAUGCACGCAUAUGACCGGUUGUCUAACUGGCCAGUUUCAGACUGUACCGAAUUAACAUCUUGGUGUAUUUGGUCAUGCUAUUUUUGGAUUAUUAAUAAUUUUCAGUAAAGAACUAACUGCAGUUGGAGGACCUGUAUAAUCGAUUAUCUAUUUGUCGUUGCAUUUAUUUUCCGAUGAGCACUCAUGUAUGUUUAUUGUUCCGGAAACUUCCUUGUACCUCGGAAUGUUCAAUUAUGAUUGUGUAUGUGGGGGUCCAAUCAACGCACGCUAUUUUUUUGUUCCGUUUCAUUGGACCAUCUUCCUGCCAUUACAUAUUUGGCAAGUAGUGUUCAAAUGCAACAUCGAAUUUCCUUAUUCUUUUAGAGAUAAAGCUCAAGUAUUGUUAGAGCUGUUGCUUUAGAAAUGGUCUUAUUGGAGUCUGAUUGAGGAGAUAAAGCAGUUAUUCUUACGAUGCAUAUGGUAACAAUGUAAACCAGAUGCAGAAUGUGACUCAAGUGCAUAGAAUCAGGUACAUUUGGGCUAGAAGAAGUAGUAGAGCCGAACAUGAUAAGUGGAGUUCAUGGAGCAUUUGAAGGGGUGGUCUGAAUAUCCGGUGCAUAGAUAAUUCCAUUAGUUGUUAGAGAUUAUGAACAUUGCAUUAUAUGGAACUUGGUAUUUUUGUCGCUGUUUGUUGAGGAUACAUUUGGAUGUUCAAAACGGUUGUAUUUUGAAUCAUAUUGGUGCGCUUGAAUGGUUAUUGAGUCACCUAUCCAACAAGACAGAGAUCUUGUGAUACCAGCUUGUACUGGGAGAGGUAUGAUCAAAUAACUGAUGGGUGUUGAUCUCUGAUGGGAUUCUAUUUUUAGAUGUCUAAUUCGAGUAGGGAUUUUAUUUUUAUAUGUUUCUGUAAUUAAUUGUUUCAUUUGACUAGGAUACUUAGAUUCAUUUCAAGAGUCUAUAUUAUUAAAUAGAGUUUCUUAUUUGGUUUAGGAUUUUCAUCUUAGAAUCAAAGUCAUACUCGUUUUUUAGAUGAAUUAUCUGUAUAUAGGGCUCUAUAAACAACUUUGUGUGUGUUGGUAUUGGUUUGGUGUUGUGGGCUUAUUCUCCUUCCUCAUUGUUGUAUUUCCAAUUUAGCGGCCUGGUUGACUUGACGUUCUUAUUCAUGGUUCUGUUCUGUAUUUUGUUGUUAAAUCUUUAACUAUUCUAUUUUGUUAGUGUUUCUGGUAUCUUUUUUUGUCCAUUAAUUACAUAUUGUUUAAUUUUUAUUAUUCUCUUUUUUUAUCCGUUAAUUACAUCUUGUUUAAGUUCAAUUAUUCUUUCUUUUCUUCACUAAUUACAUCUUGUUUAAUUUCUAUUAUUUUCUUUCUUUUCUCCAUUAACUACAUCUAUUUAACUUGUGUUUUAAAAAUUUCUCCUCCAUUCCUUGGGCCGCUACUUGUGGGUGCAAAAGUGUCUUUAUUUUUGUAUCCAUUUCCUGCUUCACUGAUUCUACAAUAUUCUACUGAGAUCUAUCUCCAUGAAUCUUUAUUGUAUGGAUGCCACUUAGAAAGCAUUGUUGCCCUAAUGUAUGGUGUAUCAUGGGAAGGACAUGACUUGCCUGGGCCUUUGAUUUGUCGUUUAUCUGUUGGAGACUCUUUCCUUACAGAUGGAACCCCUGUCAUGCAUGAUCAAUAUGGUGCUUGCAUGUAAUGGUCCCAAGGAAAGAUGGGCCCAUAAUCUCCAUGUUUGUGGUUUCCCGCUGUAAAAGAGUUUACUGGGGUUGGAGCUACCAUAGGAGUCACUGUUAUCCAAAGGGAAGGAGGGAAACUUAUGCACUUUUGACUGGCUUGGUUAUCUUGAUCAGUUGGAACCAAAUCCCCCAUUAGUACAUUAGAAUUUAUCAUAGUUGUCACGGCGUUGCCAAGGCGGUGAUUAGGCGUCCCGGCGUUUUGCAGAGGGCAAAUCGGUGGAACGAUUAGGGUCAGUCUCAUUAAUCAACCACCAAAGGGCCGUUUGGCAUCGCCAAAUCGUCCCUGGCGACGAUUUAUUACGUUUUGUACAUUAAUCGGUCGCCGUUUUGUUUUGUUUUUGUUUUGUUUUUUUUUUUUUUAAAGUUUUUAUUGUUAAUUAUUAAUAUUGAUUCUCUUUCUAACAAUAUGAUUGGCAGGUAUAAUUGAAGUGUAAAAAUCAAUGCUACAUGGGAUAAGUCCCUUAUGCUAAAAGUGUAAAUUAAGUUGUACCAAAAAACAAAAAUGUAAAUUAAAGCCUAAAUCCCUAAUAGACAAGUCUCGACUUGCAACUCUCUUCAACGGUAAGACCAACAGUUCAACCCUAAGUCUGAAGGCGAAGAACGAAGAGACGAAGAGUUCUGCUCCUGCUCUGGCGAUUCCUGCUUUCGUGCUCCGGCAAAGAUAAGUAUGAAUCCUUGCCUCUAUUUUCUGUUAUGUUUGACUUUUCUUCACCUCUUUUUUUAUUUUCCUUUUUUCUGCUACUAUUCAGUGAUUCAGUCUCUGGCUCAGCCAGUCUUCUCUCCUUCUCUUCUUCUAUUCUUUUGUUCUUCUAAUCUUCUUCUUCCUUGCCUCCGGUAGUCUGGUUUGUUCGACUCUUCUUCACCUCUUUUUUUUUCCCCCUUUUUUUGCUACUAGUCAGUCUCUUCUCUUAUCUUCUCUUAUGUUCUUCUAAUCUUCUUCUCCCUCUUCCUUAGUUCCUUGCCUCUGCCCUCUGGUUUGUUCAACUCUUCUUCACCUCUUUUUUUUUUUUUUUUU
Macadamia integrifolia is the source of this 3195-nucleotide long non-coding RNA. RefSeq lists it as uncharacterized. The transcript has 2 exons. The record is from RefSeq and is a predicted model, not a curated record. Lineage: Eukaryota; Viridiplantae; Streptophyta; Magnoliopsida; Proteales; Proteaceae.